AGGCCUAUCAGUAUCCUGAGUAGGGCGGGACACGUGAAAUCCCGUUUGAAUCCGCGAGGACCAUCUCGCAAGGCUAAAUACUAACCAGUGACCGAUAGUGAACCAGUACCGUGAGGGAAAGGUGAAAAGAACCCCGGGAGGGGAGUGAAAGAGAACCUGAAACCGUGUGCCUACAAGUAGUCAGAGCCCGUUAACGGGUAAUGGCGUGCCUUUUGUAGAAUGA
RNAcentral lists this ribosomal RNA (223 nucleotides) under Lactobacillus delbrueckii subsp. bulgaricus. RNAcentral's name for it is "partial 23S ribosomal RNA". It matches the Rfam family "Bacterial large subunit ribosomal RNA", at positions 393 to 618 of the family's 2925-position model. The record is from RNAcentral. Lineage: Bacteria; Bacillati; Bacillota; Bacilli; Lactobacillales; Lactobacillaceae.